Amblyraja radiata (thorny skate) is the source of this 77-nucleotide long non-coding RNA. RefSeq lists it as uncharacterized. Lineage: Eukaryota; Metazoa; Chordata; Chondrichthyes; Rajiformes; Rajidae. The transcript has 3 exons. The record is from RefSeq and is a predicted model, not a curated record.
UGGAGGCCAAGCAGCAGUGAAACAUGUAUGAAGUGGAACAAUCACAUGGGGAAUGUUAUGGUUAGGUUGGGUUUGUA